RNAcentral lists this ribosomal RNA (846 nucleotides) under Salmonella enterica. RNAcentral's name for it is "partial 23S ribosomal RNA". It matches the Rfam family "Bacterial large subunit ribosomal RNA", at positions 1273 to 2102 of the family's 2925-position model. RNAcentral also lists the same sequence under 2 other names. The record is from RNAcentral. Lineage: Bacteria; Pseudomonadati; Pseudomonadota; Gammaproteobacteria; Enterobacterales; Enterobacteriaceae.
CUGGAGGUAUCAGAAGUGCGAAUGCUGACAUAAGUAACGAUAAAGCGGGUGAAAAGCCCGCUCGCCGGAAGACCAAGGGUUCCUGUCCAACGUUAAUCGGGGCAGGGUGAGUCGACCCCUAAGGCGAGGCCGAAAGGCGUAGUCGAUGGGAAACGGGUUAAUAUUCCCGUACUUGGUGUUACUGCGAAGGGGGGACGGAGAAGGCUAUGUUGGCCGGGCGACGGUUGUCCCGGUUUAAGCGUGUAGGUGUGUGUUCCAGGUAAAUCCGGUUCACUUUAACACUGAGGCGUGACGACGAGGCACUACGGUGCUGAAGCAACAAAUGCCCUGCUUCCAGGAAAAGCCUCUAAGCAUCAGGUAACAUCAAAUCGUACCCCAAACCGACACAGGUGGUCAGGUAGAGAAUACCAAGGCGCUUGAGAGAACUCGGGUGAAGGAACUAGGCAAAAUGGUGCCGUAACUUCGGGAGAAGGCACGCUGACACGUAGGUGAAGUGAUUUACUCAUGGAGCUGAAGUCAGUCGAAGAUACCAGCUGGCUGCAACUGUUUAUUAAAAACACAGCACUGUGCAAACACGAAAGUGGACGUAUACGGUGUGACGCCUGCCCGGUGCCGGAAGGUUAAUUGAUGGGGUCAGCGCAAGCGAAGCUCCUGAUCGAAGCCCCGGUAAACGGCGGCCGUAACUAUAACGGUCCUAAGGUAGCGAAAUUCCUUGUCGGGUAAGUUCCGACCUGCACGAAUGGCGUAAUGAUGGCCAGGCUGUCUCCACCCGAGACUCAGUGAAAUUGAACUCGCUGUGAAGAUGCAGUGUACCCGCGGCAAGACGGAAAGACCCCGUGAACCUUU